AGUCAUCAUAUUUAUAAAUGACAACAAUUAAUUUGUGUCAUAUAAACAGUGAUUUAAAAUAAAUGGUAUCAUCAAUAUUCUGUCAGCUAUGAAGUGUGCACAAUUAUUCAUUUUUUUCCAGGCAAAAAACAUGAAUUCUGCUGAGAUUCAUUAUCAACUAUGCAAAAUUUAUGGACUAUACAUUAUGAAUGAAGGAGUGUCAGAUGAUAGUAUAGAAUGUUUAAAAGGAUCAAAUGAAUAUUUGCAGAGAAGAGUGAUUUGGCUUGUCAUCACAUGUGAGAUUAUCUUGUACAGAAAGUGGAUGCAAAGCUUCGGGAAAAUUGAUUCUUCUCAAUAAUCUGAGCUUUCAUUUCAUUUUCAAUAAUUUUUGGAAUCAUUCAAAAUACAAGAUAUGGAAUGCUGAUUUUUAGCAUUAUCUUGCUGCACAUUUGCAUCUCAUGGCUCAUACUUGAGAAAUGCUUCAACAUUUCAACUGGGAUUUGUCUGAUCACCCACAUAUAAUUCUGAUCUUGCUUCAGGUGAGUAUCAUUUUUUCCAACAUUUGAAAAAACUGAUUAGCUACACACUGAUGACAACAAAUUGAAAAUAGAAGUAUAAACAUAGUUUAGCUGACUAGAAGCUGAUUUCUUUAAUGAGGAAAGUAAAAAACUCAUUCUCUAAUAUGAUAAUUGCUAAAUUUACAUAGUGAAUAUGUGGAAAAGUAAUUUAGUUAUUUAGAUGUUUUUUAUAUAUAAUAAAUGUUGUUUGCUCUAUUAUUACUAAUUUUUGUAACCAAUCAGAAAUUAUUUUCUGAAUGGCCCUUGUAUUAUGUAGAUGAGAUGAUUUUUCAAAUGAAUUUGGCUGGAAGAUGGUAAUUUGACACUGUUACUCAUAUUUUCCAGUAACAAAAUUUGAAGAAGUGAAAAAUAAUUUAACCCUUUAGUUAAAAUAUAACACCCAAAGAAAUAAAUAGAAUCAGUUUAAUAUAGGAUGGUUUUUGGUUCAGCUCUUUACAACAAGUUAGUUGUAUUAUUAAAAUGUAUAUUUGUAUUCUUUAAAAGUGCAAUUACU
Molecule: long non-coding RNA, 1050 nt
Filed under: Androctonus crassicauda
Lineage: Eukaryota; Metazoa; Arthropoda; Arachnida; Scorpiones; Buthidae
Source: RNAcentral